CUGAUGACUCGCGCUUACUA
This 20-nucleotide non-coding RNA is filed under the name Arabidopsis thaliana (thale cress). Lineage: Eukaryota; Viridiplantae; Streptophyta; Magnoliopsida; Brassicales; Brassicaceae. The record is from RNAcentral.